CGUGGCGAGGUGGCCGUGUUCGUCGGUCCGUCUGGCUGCGGUAAGACCACGAUGCUCCGGAUUAUCGCCGGCCUCGACCGCGAUUAUCGCGGCCGCGUUGUGCGCCCGCCCGGCGCUCGCGUCGGAAUGGUGUUCGAGGAGCCGCGACUUCUUCCCUGGCGUUCGGUCGAAGACAAUGUACGGCUUGCUGCGCCGAAUGCCGACGGGGCAAGGCUGGCGGCUCUGUUCGCCAUUCUGGAAUUGACCCAACACCGUACGCACUAUCCCGGC
Molecule: unclassified non-coding RNA, 270 nt
Filed under: Hevea brasiliensis (rubber tree)
Lineage: Eukaryota; Viridiplantae; Streptophyta; Magnoliopsida; Malpighiales; Euphorbiaceae
Source: RNAcentral